RNAcentral lists this ribosomal RNA (1274 nucleotides) under uncultured bacterium. RNAcentral describes it as "bacterial SSU rRNA". It matches the Rfam family "Bacterial small subunit ribosomal RNA", at positions 32 to 1336 of the family's 1533-position model. The record is from RNAcentral.
GGGACUGGCGCGUGCUACCAUGCAGUCGAGCGAGGACAUUUAGCAAUAGAUGUUCGAGCGGCGGACGGGUGAGUAACGCGUGAACAAUCUGUCCCAGAAUGGGGGAUAACAGAUGGAAACAUCUGCUAAUACCGCAUAAGACCACGAUGUCACAUGACAUUGAGGUAAAAGGAGCAAUCCGAUUUGGGGUGAGUUCGCGUCCGAUUAGCUAGUUGGCGGGGUAACGGCCCACCAAGGCGACGAUCGGUAGCCGGCCUGAGAGGGCGAUCGGCCACACUGGAACUGAGAAACGGUCCAGACUCCUACGGGAGGCAGCAGUGGGGAAUAUUGGGCAAUGGGCGAAAGCCUGACCCAGCAACGCCGCGUGAGGGAAGAAGGUUUUCGGAUUGUAAACCUCUGUCUUAGGGGACGAAAAAAAUGACGGUACCCUAAGAGGAAGCCCCGGCUAACUACGUGCCAGCAGCCGCGGUAAUACGUAGGGGGCAAGCGUUGUCCGGAAUGACUGGGCGUAAAGGGUGUGUAGGCGGCCGAUUAAGUCUGGAGUGAAAGUCCUGCUUUCAAGGUGGGAAUUGCUUUGGAGACUGGUUGGCUUGAGUGCGGAAGAGGCAAGUGGAAUUCCCAGUGUAGCGGUGAAAUGCGUAGAGAUUGGGAGGAACACCAGUGGCGAAGGCGACUUGCUGGGCCGUAACUGACGCUGAGGCGCGAAAGCGUGGGGAGCGAACAGGAUUAGAUACCCUGGUAGUCCACGCUGUAAACGAUGAAUGCUAGGUGUAGGGGGUAUCGACCCCUCCUGUGCCGCAGUUAACACAAUAAGCAUUCCGCCUGGGGAGUACGGCCGCAAGGUUGAAACUCAAAGGAAUUGACGGGGGCCCGCACAAGCAGCGGAGCAUGUCGUUUAAUUCGAUGCAACGCGAAGAACCUUACCAGGUCUUGACAUCCAACUAAACUCGCGGAGACGCGAGGUCCCUUCGGGGAGUUGAGACAGUGGGUGCAUGGUUGUCGUCAGCUCGUGUCGUGAGAUGUUGGGUUAAGUCCCGCAACGAGCGCACCCUUAUGAUCAGUUACUAACGGGUAAAGCCGAGACUCUGAUAGACUGCCGGGGAUACUCGGAGAGGUGGGGACGACGUCAUCAUCAUGCCCUUAUGACUGGGCUACACGUGCUACAUGCCGACUACAAGAGGGGCAAGACUGUGAGUCAACGGAAUCUCAAAAAGUCGUCCCAGUUUCGGAACUGGUGGGGCGUGCAACCCGCCCACCACGAAGUUGGAGAUGCU